Molecule: ribosomal RNA, 784 nt
Filed under: Ruegeria sp. Rg313
Lineage: Bacteria; Pseudomonadati; Pseudomonadota; Alphaproteobacteria; Rhodobacterales; Roseobacteraceae
Also listed under: 1 other name
Description: bacterial SSU rRNA
Rfam family: Bacterial small subunit ribosomal RNA
Source: RNAcentral
AGUCGAGCGCACCUUCGGGUGAGCGGCGGACGGGUUAGUAACGCGUGGGAACAUACCCUUUGGUACGGAAUAGCCUCUGGAAACGGAGAGUAAUACCGUAUGAGCCCUUCGGGGGAAAGAUUUAUCGCCAAAGGAUUGGCCCGCGUUAGAUUAGGUAGUUGGUGGGGUAAUGGCCUACCAAGCCUACGAUCUAUAGCUGGUUUUAGAGGAUGAUCAGCAACACUGGGACUGAGACACGGCCCAGACUCCUACGGGAGGCAGCAGUGGGGAAUCUUGGACAAUGGGGGCAACCCUGAUCCAGCCAUGCCGCGUGAGUGAUGAAGGCCUUAGGGUCGUAAAGCUCUUUCGCCUGUGAAGAUAAUGACGGUAGCAGGUAAAGAAACCCCGGCUAACUCCGUGCCAGCAGCCGCGGUAAUACGGAGGGGGUUAGCGUUGUUCGGAAUUACUGGGCGUAAAGCGCACGUAGGCGGACUGGAAAGUUGGGGGUGAAAUCCCAGGGCUCAACCCUGGAACUGCCUCCAAAACUAUCAGUCUAGAGUUCGAGAGAGGUGAGUGGAAUUCCGAGUGUAGAGGUGAAAUUCGUAGAUAUUCGGAGGAACACCAGUGGCGAAGGCGGCUCACUGGCUCGAUACUGACGCUGAGGUGCGAAAGUGUGGGGAGCAAACAGGAUUAGAUACCCUGGUAGUCCACACCGUAAACGAUGAAUGCCAGUCGUCGGGUAGCAUGCUAUUCGGUGACACACCUAACGGAUUAAGCAUUCCGCCUGGGGAGUACGGUCGCAAGA